GCCAGGUAUAGUGGCAUAUGCCUGUAAUCCCAUUGGCUCAGGAGGCUGAGGCAGGAGAAUCGCCAGUUCAAAGCCAGCCUCAGCAUAGGUGCUGAGCAACUCAAUGAGACCCUGUCUCUA
Molecule: small RNA, 120 nt
Filed under: Marmota monax (woodchuck)
Lineage: Eukaryota; Metazoa; Chordata; Mammalia; Rodentia; Sciuridae
Source: RNAcentral